Molecule: long non-coding RNA, 1787 nt
Organism: Mytilus californianus (California mussel)
Lineage: Eukaryota; Metazoa; Mollusca; Bivalvia; Mytilida; Mytilidae
Exons: 4
Source: RefSeq, a predicted model, not a curated record
CUAUGGUGCCUAUAGGAAGGGGUCAUAUCAGCAGGUGAUGUUAUAAGUAAAGAAAGGGUCAAUAGAGACACCUUCUACUGUGCAUAUAGCAAGGUGUCAUAUCAGCAGGUGAUGUUAUAAGUAAAGAAAGGGUCAAAAGAGACACUUUUUAUGGUGCCUUUAGGAAGGGGUCAUAUCGGCAGAUGAUGUUAUAACUAAAGAAAGGGUCAAUCGAGACAUUUUCUAUGGUGCCUAUAGGAAGGGGUCAUAUCAGCAGGUGAUGUUAUAAGUAAAGAAAGGGUCAAUAGAGACACUUUCUAUGAUGCCUAUAGGAAGGGGUCAUAUCAGCAGGUGAUGUUAUAAGUAAAAAAAGGGUCAAAAGAAACAAUAUCUAUGGUUCCUAUAGGAAGGGGUCAUAUCAGCAGGUAAUGUUAUAAGUAAAGAAAGGGUCAAAAGAAACAAUUUCUAUGGUGCCUAUAGGAAGGGGUCAUAUCAGCAGGUGAUGUUUGAGUAAAGAAAGGGUCAAUAGAGACACUUUCUAUGGUGCCUAUAGGAAGGGGUCAUAUCAGCAGGUGAUGUUAUAAGUAAAGAAAGGGUCAAUAGAGACACUUUCUAUUGUCCCUAUAGAAAGGGGUCAUAUCAGCAGGUGAUGUUAUAAGUAAAAAAAGGCUCAAUAGAGACACUUUCUAUGGUGCCUAUAGGAAAGGGUCAUAUCAUUAGGUGAUGUUAUAAGUAAAGAAAUGGUCAAUAGAGACACUUUCUACUGUGCCUAUAGGAAGGGGUCAUAUCAGCAGGUGAUGUUAUAAGUAAAGAAAGGGUCAAUAGAGACACUUUAUAUGAUGCCUAUAGGGAGGGGUCAUAUCAGCAGGUGAUGUUAUAAGUAAAGAAAGGGUCAAAAGAAACAAUUUCUAUUGUGCCUAUAGGAAGGGGUCAUAUCAGCCGGUGAUGUUUGAGUAAAGAAAGGGUCAAUAGAAACACUUUCUAUGGUGCCUAUAGGAAGGGGUCAUAUCAGCAGGUGAUGUUUUAAGUAAAGAAACGGUCAAUUAAGACACUUUCUAUUAUGCCUAUAAGAAGGGGUCAUAUCAGCAGGUGAUGUUAUAAGUAAAGAAAUGGUCAAUAGAGACACUUUCUACUGUGCAUAUAAGAAGGGGUCAUAUCAGCAGAUGAUGUUAUAAGUAAAGAAAGGGUCAAUAGAGACACUUUCUAUGGUGCCUAUAGGAAGAGGUCAUAUCAGCAGGUGAUGUUAUAAGUAAAGAAAGGGUCAAUAGAGACACUUUCUAUGGUGCCUAUAGGAAGGGGUCAUAUCAGCAGGUGAUGUUAUAAGUAAAGAAAGGGUCAAUAGAGACACUUUCUAUUGUGUCUAUAGGAAGGGAUCAUAUCAGCAGGUGAUGUUAUAAGUAAAGAAAGGAUCAAUAGAGACACUUUCUAUGGUGCCUAUAGGAAGGGGUCAUAUCAGCAGGUGAUGUUAUCAGUAAAAAAAGGGUCAAAAGAGACACUUUCUAUGGUGACUAUAGGAAGGGGUCAUAUCAGCAGGUGAUGUUAUAAGUAAAGAAAAGGUCAAUAGAGACACUUUCUACUGUCCCUAUAGAAAGGGGUCAUAUCAGCAGGUGAUGUUACAAGUAAAAAAAGGCUCAGAAGGCCCUUUUUAUGGUGCCUAUAGGAAGUAGUCAUAUCGGCAGGUGAUGUAAUAAGUAAAGAAAGGGUCAAUGGAGUCAUUUUCUAUGGUGCCUAUAGGAAGGGGUCAUAUCAGCAGGUGAUGUUAUAAGUAAAGAAAGGGUCAAUUGAGACACUUUCUAUUGUGCCUAUAG